Long non-coding RNA from Thalassophryne amazonica, 171 nucleotides. RefSeq lists it as uncharacterized. Lineage: Eukaryota; Metazoa; Chordata; Actinopteri; Batrachoidiformes; Batrachoididae. The record is from RefSeq and is a predicted model, not a curated record. The transcript is spliced from 3 exons.
UAUUGAUGUGGAAGUUUCACCAGAUGUCAGUAGCAACCCAAGUAAUACACACAUAUAAAGAAGCCAAAACAACUAAGUACAGAAAUUAAAUUAUGUGUAAUAAUGUGAAAUGAGACAGGAAAAUACCUACUGAACACAUGAAGUAAGGGAGGUGCAAAAAGGCACGUAAAG